CAGCAGCCGCGGUAAUACAGAGGGUGCGAGCGUUAAUCGGAUUUACUGGGCAUAAAGCGUGCGUAGGCGGCUUCUUAAGUCGGAUGUGAAAUCCCUGAGCUUAACUUAGGAAUUGCAUUCGAUACUGGGAAGCUAGAGUAUGGGAGAGGAUGGUAGAAUUCCAGGUGUAGCGGUGAAAUGCGUAGAGAUCUGGAGGAAUACCGAUGGCGAAGGCAGCCAUCUGGCCUAAUACUGACGCUGAGGUACGAAAGCAUGGGGAGCAAACAGGAUUAGAUACCCCAGUAGUCCCUGUCUCUUAUAC
Molecule: ribosomal RNA, 301 nt
Filed under: uncultured bacterium
Lineage: Bacteria
Description: partial 16S ribosomal RNA
Rfam family: Bacterial small subunit ribosomal RNA
Source: RNAcentral